UUAUGUAAAUAGUGUAAUUUUUCGACGACCCUUGCCAAUACGUGGCUUCGCCACUGGUCAGGCGUCUACCAGUUUAUGGAUGCUCUGGCAUGCAUUAACCAAAAAAGACAAAUUUUGGCGUUGAAUCAUAUGAAGGCCUGAGAUUUUCUGUAAAGCCAGUAAAUAGCCUUCAAAUACAUUAGUUGACUCUUCUGCUCCUCAUAGAGUAAGGGUAUAGUGAGAAAAAAGAACGUGAAAUACUUCCACCUUAUUACUAGGCCCAUUAGCCACCUGGAAACCUUGCUAACCAGUUGUAAUUUAAAGCUUUGUUCAGUACUAAGUUGAACGGCGUAUUGAACGCUAUCAUUACUGAUAAGAACAGAAAUGGUGACAAAAUCACCAUGUCUCAUGCCUCUUUAUGGGGAGAGAAGUGUUGUAGAGCUGGAUUAAUGGCCACAUAGCCAUUUUAAAAAGUUGAUAUACAUGCAUUAACCCGUUUUCUCCCAAAACCCAUCCUCUUCGGCGUACUGAAGAGAGAAGCUCAAUUAUGCUUUUAUAAAAUCUAAUAUGCAAAGUACUUUUGAGCUCGUCUGUUUCAAUCUCAAAUCAAGGUAUUCAUUAGCCUCCAUUGCAGUAUCUAUGAUUUGUCUCCCUCUAAUGAAUGCAUUUUGGUUUCCUGCAACUAGUUUAUCAAUAACCUUCUUCAACAUUCUGUGUGAACAAUUUUAUAUAUACCCCCAGGCCAGGAGGGUAAAAGGACAGCACGGUGCAUUAAGCUUCCGCUAUACGUGGGGUCCAGGGAGGGACCAGACCACAAGGGUCUAUUGUACGCAGCCUUACCCUGCAUUUUUACAAGAGGCUGUUUCCACGGCUCGAUCCCGUGACCUCCUCUUACAAGGCGGUACUAUUGUUCCUACUGCUGGUCACUCUGCAAAGAUACCGCAUUCCUGGCAUCUGAACUUUUGUGAAUAUUGUUCACCUUCAAAUCCAUUGGUACAAACUUGAAUAAGUUCGUUGAUAUGACAAAGUCAAGCACAAAAGGUAGGAAUGUACCUUUGCAUCCUCUGUGCUACCUGUGCAUUUUAUGGUAAUUAAUUAUCUUGUUUCAAAUUUAGAAACUUCAAUAUUAUUACUCCCUCUAGUCCAAAUUUAGUAGAUCUAAUUUCUCUUCUAGUCCAUCCAAUUUAUUUUUUUUGUUGGUAAGAGGGGAAACCCGCAGCUGGUACAAUCUCUGCCACAGCCUCUGCCCUUCGGGUGAGCACUUUGUGCGUUCUGGGUAAACCUUCCCCUGUAUAGUCCAUCCAAUUUCCUGAAGCACUUUCACAGCUUUCUGCAAUACUUUUUCUUGGUUCAUUCUCUGCUUGUUAGUAUAGGAGAUUUGAAGCUAUAAGGUAAAACAAGAAAUUCACUUCAGAAUGAUUCUGCUAUUUACUUUAUAACCUUAUGAUCACUCUUCGAAAAAGGCUGCAUCCCCUCCAUUACAUUUUUAAACUAUUUCAUAGCCGGAUGUUCCUUUAUGUACCUGCACACAACUAGUCUUCAUAAAAUAACAUUCUUUUGUAAAACGAUUAACUUUUUUCAUCUGUUCAUUUGGUUAUGAAGAGGUCCGAUUCUAUGCUCCUCUCCCUCAUGCCUUGUGGGUUUUGAGAAUACACAAGGAAAUGUCUGUCAAACCCAUCACUACCUCUAGAUGGAUUUAAGAAAAUUGCAGUAAAGUAAUACAAAAGUCCUACUUCCACGUAUCUGAAAUAUAAUUUGAACAAAUCUCUAACACAGACUACUUUUGGAAAUGUACUGGUACCUUCUUCUCUUAUGACAUGCUCUAGUCAAAUGAACUAGCUUAAGAUGGUAAUACAAGUAAAGCUGGCUAUCAUGUUUCGAUUGCAUUUUCUCUCUAUCUUUGUGUAUUUUCUUAGAAUAAGUUUGUAUUUUGAUUUUUAUUUUUAUUUCAGAAUGGCAGGUAUUGUAUACCACAGAAAUAACUCAAAAGUCAAAGAAGUUCGGCGAUGGGAUUUUGCUACUUGUGAUGUCUUGGGGAGAGGUUAUUAGGCGGGACAUGGCGCAGCUGGAGCUGACUGCAUGGCCUAGACAGGAGGGUGUGGAGGUCAAAGAUUAGGGUAGAAGGUUCGUAGGUAGUUGCGCAUUUCUCUUUGUCUUACUCAGUUUGCUAGCAUUAGUGUUAGUAUGUUAUCUUUUAUCCAUAGAUGGCUAUUCCUACUUGUUGUUUUUAUUCCUACUUGUUGCAA
Molecule: long non-coding RNA, 2225 nt
Organism: Nicotiana attenuata
Lineage: Eukaryota; Viridiplantae; Streptophyta; Magnoliopsida; Solanales; Solanaceae
Exons: 3
Source: RefSeq, a predicted model, not a curated record